GCGGCCUAUCAGCUUGUUGGUGAGGUAAUGGCUCACCAAGGCGACGACGGGUAGCCGGCCUGAGAGGGCGACCGGCCACACUGGGACUGAGACACGGCCCAGACUCCUACGGGAGGCAGCAGUGGGGAAUAUUGGGCAAUGGACGAAAGUCUGACCCAGCGACGCCGCGUGCGGGAUGAAGGCCUUCGGGUUGUAAACCGCUUUCAGCAGGGAAGAAGCGAAAGUGACGGUACCUGCAAAAGAAGCACCGGCUAACUAUGUGCCAGCAGCCGCGGUAAUACAUAGGGUGCAAGCGUUGUCCGGAAUUAUUGGGCGUAAAGAGCUCGUAGGUCGUUAAUUACGUCGGGUGUGAAAAUCUGGGGCUCAACCCCAGACCUGCACUCGAUACGGGUUAGCUAGAGUUUGGUAGGGGAGACUGGAAUUCCU
RNAcentral lists this ribosomal RNA (426 nucleotides) under uncultured Actinomycetes bacterium. RNAcentral describes it as "bacterial SSU rRNA". It matches the Rfam family "Bacterial small subunit ribosomal RNA", at positions 233 to 671 of the family's 1533-position model. Lineage: Bacteria; Bacillati; Actinomycetota; Actinomycetes. The record is from RNAcentral.